UAUUGGGCGUAAGCGCGCGCAGGUGGUUUCUUAAGUCUGAUGUGAAAGCCCACGGCUCAACCGUGGAGGGUCAUUGGAAACUGGGAGACUUGAGUGCAGAAGAGGAAAGUGGAAUUCCAUGUGUAGCGGUGAAAUGCGUAGAGAUAUGGAGGAACACCAGUGGCGAAGGCGACUUUCUGGUCUGUAACUGACACUGAGGCGCGAAAGCGUGGGGAGCAAACAGGAUUAGAUA
RNAcentral lists this ribosomal RNA (232 nucleotides) under Bacillus mycoides. Its description in RNAcentral is "partial 16S ribosomal RNA". It matches the Rfam family "Bacterial small subunit ribosomal RNA", at positions 552 to 784 of the family's 1533-position model. Lineage: Bacteria; Bacillati; Bacillota; Bacilli; Caryophanales; Bacillaceae. The record is from RNAcentral.